Molecule: long non-coding RNA, 281 nt
Filed under: Gossypium barbadense (sea-island cotton)
Lineage: Eukaryota; Viridiplantae; Streptophyta; Magnoliopsida; Malvales; Malvaceae
Description: long non-coding RNA (GBAR_LNC004989)
Source: RNAcentral
CCAAGUCACCAACACCAUCAAUCUAAGAUUUCAAAUUUAAGACCAUAUGUGAAUAUUUAACUUAAAUUUAGUAUAAUUUAAGUGUCUAAAUUUAUUCCAAUUUAUGUAACUACAUUUGAGAGGGUUAAUGAUAUUGAAAUGCAAUUAAAAUCAGAAGAAAAACAAAAACAAAAUUGAAAGAAGACGAAUUGACAUGUCUGGCUUUUCGAACAUGUGAAAAACUAGCAGUGGAGAGAUUGGCCAAGUGUCAAUCUUGAUGGAACAUCCACCCACUGGCCACC